GAAGAAGAACGUAGCGAACUGCGAUAAGUAAUGUGAAUUGCAGAAUUCAGUGAAUCAUCGAGUCUUUGAACGCACAUUGCGCCCCCUGGCAUUCCGGGGGGCAUGCCUGUCCGAGCGUCAUUGCUGCCCUUCAAGCCCGGCUUGUGUGUUGGGUCGUCGUCCCCCCCGGGGGACGGGCCCGAAAGGCAGCGGCGGCACCGCGUCCGGUCCUCGAGCGUAUGGGGCUUUGUCACCCGCUCGAUUAGGGCCGGCCGGGCGCCAGCCGGCGUCUCCAACCUUCUAUUUUACCAGGUUGACCUCGGAUCAGGUAGGGAUACCCGCUGAACUUAAGCAUAUCAAUAAGCGGAGGA
RNAcentral lists this unclassified non-coding RNA (350 nucleotides) under soil metagenome. RNAcentral's name for it is "partial contains 5.8S ribosomal RNA, internal transcribed spacer 2, and large subunit ribosomal RNA". The stretch from base 1 to 120 matches the Rfam family "5.8S ribosomal RNA", at positions 35 to 154 of the family's 154-position model. The record is from RNAcentral.